This 497-nucleotide ribosomal RNA is filed under the name uncultured bacterium. RNAcentral describes it as "partial 16S ribosomal RNA". It matches the Rfam family "Bacterial small subunit ribosomal RNA", at positions 28 to 507 of the family's 1533-position model. The record is from RNAcentral.
GAUGAACGCUGGCGGCGUGCCUAACACAUGCAAGUCGAGCGAACGGACGAGAAUUUCCUUUUUCUGUUGUUAUAGUCGGAUGGGGGACGAAUGCGUGGAAAAUCUAUCUACUACACCGGGAUAACUUCUGGACACCGGAACCAAUACCGGAUAAUAUUUUGAACUGCAGGGUUCAAAAGUGAAUGACGGUCUUGCUGUCACUUAUAGAUGGUUCCGCGCUGGAUUAUCAACUUGUUAAGGUGACGGUUUACUACGACGACGAUGCAUAGCCGACGGGGGGGGGUGAUCGGCCACGCUGGAACUGAGACACGGUCCAGACUCCUACGGGAGGCAGCGGUAGGGGAUCUUACGCAAUGGGCAUAAGCCUGACGGUGCAACGCCGCGUGAGUGAUGGAGAUCUCCGGAUCGUAAAUCUCUGUUAUUAGGGAAGACCAUAUGUGUAAGUAACUGUGCGCAUCUUGACGGUACCUAAACAGGAAGCCACGGCUAACUACGUG